Molecule: long non-coding RNA, 1034 nt
Organism: Mus musculus (house mouse)
Lineage: Eukaryota; Metazoa; Chordata; Mammalia; Rodentia; Muridae
Product: predicted gene, 40726
Exons: 4
Source: RefSeq, a predicted model, not a curated record
UUUAUUUUCUUCUACGGAGCCAGGGCACUGAGGUUCUGAGCGUUUGCUGCUCUUCCAAGAGCCCCAAGUUUGACUUCCAGAGCUCACAGGGAAGUUCACAGCCAUUGGCAACUCCAGUUCCAGGGGAACGUAUGCCCUCUUCCAGCCCUCAGGUACCAGGCAUGCAUGUAGUACACAGACACACAUGUAGUUAUACAACACCCCAUUAGUUAAUUAAUUACAUUAAUUAAACAUUAUAAUUUUAUCCAAUCCAAAGAUAGACACCAAUUUGAUAUUUACAUAUUGAGGAACAACAACCAUGGGGAAAUACUAAAUCUUUGUUUUUUUGUAAUUUAAUGGUUCUGACUAUUUAAGUGUUAGACAGUGUAGCAUGCAGUAAAACCCUACCAUUCAUAAUAUACAACAAUCUGACAUGUGUGUAAGGUAUUUCUGGCAGUGUUCACUGGCAUUGCAUAUGAUACAUUGCAUGGUAUGGCAGCAUGUGCUUGGAAAAUGAGCGUGUUGUAUGUUCAGAACCAAGGCGACAGUGAAGCUGCAGGAUAAAACACAGGUGGAUUAUACUGAGCAAGGAAGUCACAAGAACCAUGUCAGCAAAACCUCCUCUCUAUCCUGCACAUUUUUCUGACUGAGGCUCAUUUCUAUCUGAAGUUGCCACAGGGAUGAAGUAGGACCAACCAGCUUCCUGUUCUAGCCACCAUGCCUUUCUGCCUCUUGCCGGCCAUGUCUUUGCCAACCUGUUCCUGGAGGUUCAGAGAAGCUGGUGUAAAUGUGCUGCCUAGAACUGAGCACUCCAUAGCUACUUCUUCUCACCCCUUGAACAGGAUCGAGUCUCUGCACCCUCCACUGUUCAAUGCGAGGAGAAGCUUCUCUGAUUAAGGCUGAGAGUACGUUUGCUUAUGGGUAUAAACAUAAUAUUCUCAAGGCAGCUUGAUGCAUGUCAACUUAUUGAAAUGAUAAUAAGUCCCCCCACUAAGGUCAGUGACCUCCACAGCCAUGGAUAUUUAACCUGGUUCACUGUACGUACGAAUCAUGAC